GUCUGUUAUCAUACCACCCUGAAUGCGUCCAAUCUCAUCUAAUCUCAGAAGCUAAGUAGGGUCAGGCCUGGUUAAUACUUGAAUGGGAGUAAUGAGGAAAUAAGAGGUGAUUGGAGAUA
Molecule: ribosomal RNA, 119 nt
Organism: Aotus nancymaae (Ma's night monkey)
Lineage: Eukaryota; Metazoa; Chordata; Mammalia; Primates; Aotidae
Source: Ensembl